GAAUUUGUGUGCAAUUUCAACACUGUAUUGGAAGAGAUAUCAUUAUCCAAACAAAAUCUUUCCACGCCUCUUGAUUGUAUGAAAAAUCGUAAAUUUGAUAUUGGUUUAGUGAUAGAGAUAAUCCAAGAUUCAAUAUCAGAAGAGGAUAAGAGGUUGAUCUAUCUUGGAGAUGGAAGUGGAGACUAUUGUCCAAGUUUGAGGUUGAAAGAGAAGGACUUUAUGAUGCCAAGGAAGAACUUUCCAUUGUGGGAUCUGAUAUGCAGAGAUCCUUCACUUCUUAUGGCUGAGAUUCAUGGUUGGAGUGAUGGAGAAGAACUUGGAGAUGGAAGUGGAGACUAUUCUCCCUUCAUUUCCUCUUAUU
This 361-nucleotide small RNA is filed under the name Vigna angularis var. angularis. RNAcentral describes it as "Non-protein coding transcript". Lineage: Eukaryota; Viridiplantae; Streptophyta; Magnoliopsida; Fabales; Fabaceae. The record is from RNAcentral.